GGGGGGGGGUGCGUCUGGACGCGCCUAGGAGCCGGUCGUCCGGGCGCUAGCUGCGCCGUUUAUAUAAAUACCAUGUAAUUAUAUUUGUUUUACACACUAUAGGUACAACACAAACAAUAUAUAACUAAACGGUAGUUGUAGGUCGGUAGCUCGUACCGAAGGUUGGUGUGGACUAACACUCAGUCCACCUAUCGAAAUAGUUUAUACUAGACUUUUGUUAUCUACUCCCACUGUUCCAAAUUAUAAUUCAUUUUAACUUUUUUAGUACAUAGAUUUGUUAUGUAUCUAGAUAUAUGUAUAUAUAGAUGGUAUAGUAGAAUUAAUAUAAAAAACAAAUAGUUUUAGAAGAAGUGAGGGAGUAAAACUUAAUCGUAAUAUCGAAAUAGAUCCUUGUAUGGCCCAAAUCCAUUUGGGCAGUCCUGGAUUGCUCUUCGGCGUUCGACGCGUCAGCGCAAACCGCUUCUGUACCUUUCUUUUAUUGGUUCUUCUCAAAUAUAUUUCCCCUUUCAUGGCAACCAAUAUAUUCUGUGCACACAUGUACGGAUAUUUUUAUUCUUUUUACCAUUUUUUCUUUUUUGUUAUACUAGCAAAUAUGCUUGUGCGUUGCAACGGGAGAAAAACAUCAAAUGGUCAUAGAAAAUAAUGACAUCAUAUUAUAUAUCUAUUUAUAUUUAUCAUUUUUUUACAAAAUUUAAAGUCCAUAGUUUAUUUUAUUGAUAACCAUAAUAUCUAUGGUAUUAGAUAGUUA
Molecule: long non-coding RNA, 748 nt
Filed under: Sorghum bicolor (sorghum)
Lineage: Eukaryota; Viridiplantae; Streptophyta; Magnoliopsida; Poales; Poaceae
Description: long non-coding RNA (SBIC_LNC007289)
Source: RNAcentral